This 75-nucleotide transfer RNA is filed under the name Rickettsiales endosymbiont of Peranema trichophorum. RNAcentral's name for it is "tRNA-Thr". It matches the Rfam family "tRNA". From Rfam's summary of the family: Transfer RNA (tRNA) molecules are approximately 80 nucleotides in length. Their secondary structure includes four short double-helical elements and three loops (D, anti-codon, and T loops). Further hydrogen bonds mediate the characteristic L-shaped molecular structure. tRNAs have two regions of fundamental functional importance: the anti-codon, which is responsible for specific mRNA codon recognition, and the 3' end, to which the tRNAs corresponding amino acid is attached (by aminoacyl-tRNA synthetases). tRNAs cope with the degeneracy of the genetic code in two manners: having more than one tRNA (with a specific anti-codon) for a particular amino acid; and 'wobble' base-pairing, i.e. permitting non-standard base-pairing at the 3rd anti-codon position. Lineage: Bacteria; Pseudomonadati; Pseudomonadota; Alphaproteobacteria; Rickettsiales. The record is from RNAcentral.
GCCGAAUUAGCUCAGAGGUAGAGCAACCGCCUUGUAAGCGGUAGGUCAUCUGUUCAAGUCAGAUAUUCGGCACCA